AGGGAAAGCACCUGAAAUAUACCACCCAGUGUCAGUGGAAAAAGCACAGGCCAGUCAAUGAUGUGCAAAGGAGACGGCUUAUCUUAAAUAUGAAAAUGAUUUUGAUCUACAUGAUCAUCGCAGCUCCAGCAGUGACCGCUGUGGCACAAGGGUCUUUGGAAUGCAAUCUAACUGAACCGGGAGUCCAGAAGUGUUUUGGAGUUUUAGGAAAACCAUUCAGUUUUUACCUACCCACUGACCCGCAUACAAAGACAAGACUGGAAAAGAAUGCAAGCAUCAUUUUAACAUUUAAAAAUUAUUCAUUCAUUAGCAUAAAUGAAAAAUACAAGAAUCAUACUGAAU
Long non-coding RNA from Archocentrus centrarchus (flier cichlid), 342 nucleotides. RefSeq lists it as uncharacterized. The transcript has 3 exons. Lineage: Eukaryota; Metazoa; Chordata; Actinopteri; Cichliformes; Cichlidae. The record is from RefSeq and is a predicted model, not a curated record.